GUAGGUGGCAAGCGUUGUCCGGAAUUAUUGGGCGUAAAGCGCGCGCAGGCGGUUCGUUUAAGUCUGAUGUGAAAGCCCACGGGCUCAACCGUGGAGGGUCAUUGGAAACUGGAGAACUUGAGUACAGAAGAGGAAAGCGGAAUUCCACGUGUAGCGGUGAAAUGCGUAGAGAUGUGGAGGAACACCAGUGGCGAAGGCGGCUUUCUGGUCUGUAACUGACGCUGAGGCGCGAAAGCGUGGGGAGCAAACAGGAUUAGAUACCCUGGUAGUCCACGCCGUAAACGAUGAGUGCUAAGUGUUAGGGGGGUUUCCGCCCCUUAGUGCUGCAGCUAACGCAUUAAGCACUCCGCCUGGGGAGUACGGCCGCAAGGCUA
RNAcentral lists this ribosomal RNA (374 nucleotides) under uncultured organism. Its description in RNAcentral is "partial 16S ribosomal RNA". It matches the Rfam family "Bacterial small subunit ribosomal RNA", at positions 527 to 896 of the family's 1533-position model. The record is from RNAcentral.